Molecule: long non-coding RNA, 318 nt
Filed under: Rattus norvegicus (Norway rat)
Lineage: Eukaryota; Metazoa; Chordata; Mammalia; Rodentia; Muridae
Description: long non-coding RNA NONRATT009085
Source: RNAcentral
AAAGCGGAGAAGGAGGAGAAGUGUCACAUUGAGGGCAUCAAGGAAGCCAUCAAGAAGAAAGAACAAAAGUUAGAGCAGAUGACCCUAGGGAAAGAUCCCAUCUUCCAGGAGUACCAGAAGGUUCCCCUAGCCUCCAAGAUAAACCGCUGCUAUGACAAGGGGGCAGCAGAGACCCAGCUGCCCCUGCACCAGCAGGGUGGAGUCUACUGAGAACCCAGGAGGAAGAAGGCACAGCCCAGCAGCCAGAGACAUCGUCAUGCAAUUCCGUAAAAAUCCGAUUUUAAUCGAGCAUUGAUUUUUAAAAAAGUAUAUACAGUA